CGUUAAAACUCAAAUGAAUUGACGGGGGCCGCACAAGCGGUGGAGCAUGUGGUUUAAUUCGAUGCAACGCGAAGAACCUUACCUACUCUUGACAUCCAGAGAACUUAGCAGAGAUGCUUUGGUGCCUUCGGGAACUCUGAGACAGGUGCUGCAUGGCUGUCGUCAGCUCGUGUUGUGAAAUGUUGGGUUAAGUCCCGCAACGAGCGCAACCCUUAUCCUUUGUUGCCAGCGGUUAGGCCGGGAACUCAAAGGAGACUGCCAGUGAUAAACUGGAGGAAGGUGGGGAUGACGUCAAGUCAUCAUGGCCCUUACGAGUAGGGCUACACACGUGCUACAAUGGCGCAUACAAAGAGAAGCGACCUCGCGAGAGCAAGCGGACCUCAUAAAGUGCGUCGUAGUCCGGAUUGGAGUCUGCAACUCGACUCCAUGAAGUCGGAAUCGCUAGUAAUCGUAGAUCAGAAUGCUACGGUGAAUACGUUCCCGGGCCUUGUACACACCGCCCGUCACACCAUGGGAGUGGGUUGCAAAAGAAGUAGGUAGCUUAACCUUCGGGAGGGCGCUUACCACUUUGUGAUUCAUGACUGGGGUGAAGUCGUAACAAGGUAACCAAGGGCGAAUUCCAG
RNAcentral lists this ribosomal RNA (623 nucleotides) under uncultured Serratia sp. Its description in RNAcentral is "bacterial SSU rRNA". It matches the Rfam family "Bacterial small subunit ribosomal RNA", at positions 892 to 1516 of the family's 1533-position model. Lineage: Bacteria; Pseudomonadati; Pseudomonadota; Gammaproteobacteria; Enterobacterales; Yersiniaceae. The record is from RNAcentral.